This is a long non-coding RNA of Onychostoma macrolepis, 695 nucleotides long. RefSeq lists it as uncharacterized. The record is from RefSeq and is a predicted model, not a curated record. Lineage: Eukaryota; Metazoa; Chordata; Actinopteri; Cypriniformes; Cyprinidae. The transcript is spliced from 3 exons.
UUUAAGGUGAAUAGUAAAUGUGGAAGUGAAUAGAGCUGACUCAGAACUGCUCUGUAAGAAGUAGGGGAAGGGUGACGGCUUUAAUAGUGUGUGGACAUGUAGUAAAACAGUGUGGGGCAACGGGAAGAGAAAGUACCACAUCGAAUUACUGAAGUGUGCCUGUUAUAACUACUAAUGGAAUAGAGGAACUUCCCUAUGAUUGAAAGGUCUCCGAAGUUUGACCCUGCAAUCUUUCAGUUAACACCAGCCCAGAUGUUUUAAGUACUCCACCACACCUCCCAUGAAUGAAGACUAAAGCUGACUCACCCUGGUACAGGUGAAUGAGAGGAUUGUGGAUGGAGGGGUGGAUGAGACCUUCAGGUAGAUCCCUCAAGAACUGCUUCAGUAAACUGGCUACAGCAAAGGCGUCUGCAUCCUGAUGAAGAUCCACCUCUUCUCCUCCAUCAAUCCUCUGCCGCAGGUUAUCCACCGUCCGGACGCUGCCGUUCACUCUGAACAGACCCUCCAGACGAAGACCUGGGAGAUCGGGGCACCAUGAGAGACACAUGAAGCUCUAUACUCCACCAUACUCCGGACCACCACAGGAACCCCAUCCUUGACAAGUCCCAGAUCUCUCAACUCCAGCAGGGACAUGCCGAAGAUUUUCUUCCCCACUGUGGCGGUGGCCGGAGAGGGUUUGAUCACGGGCAGCUGUA